UACGGAGGAUGCAAGCGUUAUCCGGAUUCAUUGGGUUUAAAGGGUGCGUAGGCGGACUAUUAAGUCAGUGGUGAAAGCCUGCAGCUUAACUGCAGAACUGCCAUUGAUACUGAUAGUCUUGAGUUUGGUUAAGGUAGGCGGAAUGUGUAAUGUAGCGGUGAAAUGCUUAGAUAUUACACAGAACACCAAUUGCGUAGGCAGCUUACUGAGCCGACACUGACACUGAGGCACGAAAGCGUGGGGAUCGAACAGGA
This 254-nucleotide ribosomal RNA is filed under the name uncultured prokaryote. RNAcentral describes it as "partial 16S ribosomal RNA". It matches the Rfam family "Bacterial small subunit ribosomal RNA", at positions 524 to 777 of the family's 1533-position model. The record is from RNAcentral.